RNAcentral lists this ribosomal RNA (254 nucleotides) under uncultured bacterium. RNAcentral describes it as "partial 16S ribosomal RNA". It matches the Rfam family "Bacterial small subunit ribosomal RNA", at positions 524 to 776 of the family's 1533-position model. The record is from RNAcentral.
UACGUAGGGUGCGAGCGUUGCCCGGAUUUAUUGGGCGUAAAGGGCGCGUAGGCGGUGUGUCACGUCGGCCGUGAAAACCUGCAGCUUAACUGUGGGCGUGCGGUCGAUACGGGCAUCACUGGAGUUCGGCAGGGGAGACUGGAAUUCCUGGUGUAGCGGUGAAAUGCGCAGAUAUCAGGAGGAACACCGGUGGCGAAGGCGGGUCUCUGGGCCGAUACUGACGCUGAGGAGCGAAAGCGUGGGGAGCGAACAGG